UGUUUGCAGCGAAUGACCUGAAGCUUCGCUCCUCAGAGUCACCGGCGGACGGGUGAGUAAUGCCUAGGAAUCUGCCUGGUAGUGGGGGACAACGUUUCGAAAGGAACGCUAAUACCGCAUACGUCCUACGGGAGAAAGCAGGGGACCUUCGGGCCUUGCGCUAUCAGAUGAGCCUAGGUCGGAUUAGCUAGUUGGUGGGGUAAUGGCUCACCAAGGCGACGAUCCGUAACUGGUCUGAGAGGAUGAUCAGUCACACUGGAACUGAGACACGGUCCAGACUCCUACGGGAGGCAGCAGUGGGGAAUAUUGGACAAUGGGCGAAAGCCUGAUCCAGCCAUGCCGCGUGGGUGAAGAAGGUCUUCGGAUUGUAAAGCACUUUAAGUUGGGAGGAAGGGCAGUAAAUUAAUACUUUGCUGUUUUGACGUUACCGACAGAAUAAGCACCGGCUAACUCUGUGCCAGCAGCCGCCGGUAAUUAAC
Molecule: ribosomal RNA, 479 nt
Filed under: uncultured bacterium
Lineage: Bacteria
Description: bacterial SSU rRNA
Rfam family: Bacterial small subunit ribosomal RNA
Source: RNAcentral